RNAcentral lists this long non-coding RNA (427 nucleotides) under Mytilus galloprovincialis (Mediterranean mussel). Lineage: Eukaryota; Metazoa; Mollusca; Bivalvia; Mytilida; Mytilidae. The record is from RNAcentral.
UUGAAAGAUUGAAAAAUGGCAUUUCCAGUCGUGUCCGUGCAUUUACUCAUGAACUCUUCAACCAAAGCUUCCCAAAUUUUAAUAUGUUGUUACUGAUGACAAAAUGGAGGUCAAGUUCAAUAAUGACGAUUUUGACUUUUACUGUUCAGGAGUUAUGGUUCUUGAAAGAUUGAAAAAUGGCUUUUCCAGUCGUGUCCGUGCAUUUACUCAUGAACUGUUCAACCAAAGCUUUUCAAAUUUUAAUAUGUUGUUACUGAUGACAAAAUGAAGGUCAAGUUCAAUAAUGACGAUUUUGACUUUUACCGUUCAGGAGUUAUGGUUCUUGAAAGAUUGAAAAAUGGCUUUUCCAGUCGUGUCCGUGCAUUUACUCAUGAACCAUUCAACUUAAGCUUUUCAAAUUUUAAUAUGUUGAUACUGAUGACAAAAU